GAUCCAGGAUUAUUGACAGGGAGAAAGAAACACUGGGCACUUAAUGAGAUGCGGGAGGGGCGGGGGCUCCCUUGUGACGUGUGCAUAAAUAAACAGGAGGAGGGGGUUACGGAGAAACUAACAAUGAUCCCUUUUGGAGAGAGCAGGAGGGGGGAGGGGUGCGCGACGAAGGCAGGCCGGCCAGCAGGCAGGGGCGAAGAGGCGAACGGAGACAAUGCAGAUAUAGGCGAGGAGGCGAACCUGUCAGUUCUAACCCAGCGGGCCAAAGCGAACAAAACUCGGGUGCAUCAAACAAAUUAGGGAAGGGGCAAGGCAUGCGCUCCAGUAGUGCGGUUUGCACAACUGUCAAGGCAUGAAAGCCUCUCUCCGUGCCUUCGAGCUCGCACUUGGUUGCGCACUCAACUUUCCGGCGCGGUGUAGUGAAAUUUUAGAGUUGCAUCCGAUGCACUUUUACCAGGAAGUGAUUUCGCUCCUCUGGGACUUCUUUCCGAAUAAACACGCACGGGCUUGUGCUCCGUUUUCCAUCUGCUUCCCGCCAUCAGAAAAACUCCAACCGAAGCCCAGAAUGGUUCUUCAGAAGAAACACUACUGCGUGUACAUUAUGAACAAUAACUGCUACAGGACAGCAUUUUUUCCUGAUCAACAACAUUUUCCUAAUAAGCUUAUUAAAAAAAGAAAAGAUUGAAAAAUAUUUUAUGGAAUUAUGAAUUCUAGCCAAGAAAAUGAAGUCUUUUAUUAUUUGAAAUAUUUGAAUUUUUCAAAAGCUGGAGGUUUAGAUCCAGCCACCAAAGAAGUGAACAUGUCGAAAUUCAUAAGAACAGGUACCAAUGGUCAAAUAAGCAGUAAUAAUUUAGAACAAUCUCCAAUCACAGAAACAUGCUGAUCAUCAAUUAUCCCAUGAGAUUCCAAUGACAUAUUAAGAUGAUUCCCCUAAAAAAAAA
Molecule: long non-coding RNA, 941 nt
Organism: Crotalus tigris (Tiger rattlesnake)
Lineage: Eukaryota; Metazoa; Chordata; Lepidosauria; Squamata; Viperidae
Exons: 3
Source: RefSeq, a predicted model, not a curated record